GAUUUACAAUUAUUGGUGUACCUUGUUUCCUCCACAUUCUCUCACACUCACACACACACACACACACUUACACAAACCCUUGAUUCGAUUUAAAUCAUGAAUAUUGCUAAUUGAUUUUUGGGGCUUCAUGUGGCGAUUGAUUCAUGGAUGGGAUUAACUGUUGAAUUGCAAAGAGGUUAUGGAAUAUGGCUUGUGAGUUUUUUCUUACUUGAAUUUAAAGUUCUAUUGUAUGAUACUUCAGCAUGUUAUUAAUUUCUAAUUUCUUUUUGGCCCAUCAUGUGCUCGACUAUAUGCUCAAAUGAAUGACACAUAGAACCACCACCACCAACACCAACACCAGCAGUACUUAUCUGGUUUGUGUUGAAAGUCUAAUAGAUUAUUGGAAAAAAAAUUAUAUUAUGAUCUUGAGGAUAAGUUUCAUACAUGUAAUUUGUCUAAAUUGAUGUCUUUAAUCAUAGUAGGAACAAAAGUAGGAUAGUGAGAAAGAUUAAAAUAAUUGAAAAGGCAAAAUAAAAACUUUGAAUAACUCUGAUUAGAUCAACCAGCUCAAUUCAUUUUUAGUGACCAAAAUUAAAGAAAAAGGAAUUUUGACACUUGCGAUAGAAAACUACACCCACAAAAAAUAUACAACAAAACCAGACAAGAGAGCUCAUAUUAUAAAUAUCUGUAUAAAUAAACACCCAUCGGCACCCAAUUGACGAGUUCAUAAGCUGUCGCACUUACAACCCAUACGCAAAAUGAAUCGCAAAUGGAAACUUUUAUUAAGUUACUCUUGAUUUAAGGAAGAAACUAAAUAAGAUGAAACUUAGGCCAAGUUUGGCAACACCAAAAUAAUCCAUCUUUUUAUCUUUUUUUCAUCACAUCACCUCUCUAUUUUUCUGCACAUCUUUUCGUAAAAAGACAAAAAGUACACUUAUUUAGGUCAUCCCAAACAAAUCUUAGUUUCAAGUUGUCUUAUUUUUGAAAGGUAGUGGGCCUCUCAAGUCGUUUCCUCGUAUAUCCUUUGGACAUGUGUCUUGAGCUUUAUUGUAUAUUCCUUCUUCUUUGGUAAUAAAUGCUUACCAUAAAAUAACAAAAAAAGAGAGAAGAAAACACAGAGCUAAGUCUUCAAUCCUCAAGAUACAUUGAAAGUUUUCCAAGGAAGGUACUGACAUUUCUAUUGGUCCAACUCCUAUUGCUGGCUCACAUGAUAUCUCUCGGGAAUAUGUUCAAAUGAGAGUGUAGUAGGCACACAUCCCAUCAUAUCGAAGAUAAGUUUUUCACACAUUUUGAAGUAUUCAUGUAGUGUAAUUAAAAACUGUGGCCUGUGUUUGCUUUUUUAGUAGCACACUGUAGUCUAUAACAUUCUGGUACAAUAGAUUUUAUUAUGGUUUUUGGUUAUGUUUGCUCACAUUAUAUAAAUCCCUUUGUUUAGAGGAGGAAUACAUAUCUAAUAUUUGUCUUAGCUUAAAAGCAUAAUUGUUAAUUUUCUUUUCUAAAAACUUGUUUAUGUUGUCCUGAUUACAUAGUUUAUUGAUUUGCAAUAUGGCUUUAACUACCACUUGGAGUUCAUUGUUGGUUAUACAAAUCUUGUUGGUUAUACAAAUCUGAAGCCAUAUGGGUCUUCAAUCUAUCAACCACGUCUUCAAUCGAUCUCCCCCUCUCUCUCUCACACACACACACACACAAACCCUUGAUUGCUUUGGUUUAGGCCUUGUCAUUCUUCACUUAUUUGAGCAAUCAAUUCAAGUUGAAAAACCUGUAAGGACCUUUCCUUCUGGGGGUAGGAAAAUCAUGAUCGGGAUAGUGGACCAAAAGCUAUGGAAUUUUUUUAUUAGCGGUUCUCUAUAACGUCGUGUGUUCAAUUUUCUAUGAUAUAUAUGUAUCUUUGUUCAAUGAUUAUUUUGUAUUUGAUAGACAAUGGUCUCGUUGGGCAUACAAAACUUGUGCAUAGAAGCUAUUUGAGGAUUUGUCAAAGAGACUAAUACUUCAUUGGCUACAAGGAUUUCCCCUCUUGUUUGUAACAAGAAACCACAAGAAUUUGACAAGUCAGGUGUUUGAAGAUGUUUCCGAGACAACCCAUCAAUCAUGCUGUUGAAAAACUUAUUGUAUACCAUUAGUAUGCAAGUAUAGAACAAUCCAUCUUCUUAGUACCCAAAAGGCAGAAAAAGUAAGUGAAGAAAAAUUUAGAAUUGGUAAUAAAUAAGUCCAAUUAAUUGGUCUGAUUGGUAA
Long non-coding RNA from Camellia sinensis, 2211 nucleotides. RefSeq lists it as uncharacterized. The record is from RefSeq and is a predicted model, not a curated record. NCBI's taxonomy places the organism in Eukaryota, Viridiplantae, Streptophyta, Magnoliopsida, Ericales, Theaceae.